GGCUCUUUGAAUUUACUUUGAUAAAGAGUCAGACCUGCCCAGUGAAUAAUUUUUUUAACGGCCGCGGUACCUUGACCGUGCAAAGGUAGCAUAAUCACUUGCCUUAUAAUUGAAGGCUUGUAUGAAUGGUUUAACGAGAGCAAUACUGUCUCCUUUUUAUUUUCUAGAAUUUAACCUUUAGGUGAAGAGGCCUAAAUUGAAUUGAAGGACAAGAAGACCCUGUCGAGCUUAAAAGACACUAUGGAAGUAAAUAUAGUUUUUAAAUAAAUUUCUAUUAAGCUUUUUAGUUGGGGCGACUAAGGAACAAAAAAAGCUUCUUUCAAGAUAAAGACAAACAGGUUUUGAUCCGGCAAUAGCCGAUCUAAGAAAUUAGUUACCGCAGGGAUAACAGCAUAAUCUCUCUUGAGAGCUCUAAUCGAAAGAGGGGGUUGUGACCUCGAUGUUGGACUAGAAUAUCCUAAAGGCGCAGAAGUCUUUAAGGGUCGGUCUGUUCGACCGUUAAAAUUCU
Molecule: ribosomal RNA, 508 nt
Filed under: Leptoxis dilatata
Lineage: Eukaryota; Metazoa; Mollusca; Gastropoda; Pleuroceridae
Description: partial 16S ribosomal RNA
Rfam family: Bacterial large subunit ribosomal RNA
Source: RNAcentral